Molecule: transfer RNA, 84 nt
Filed under: Echinostoma caproni
Lineage: Eukaryota; Metazoa; Platyhelminthes; Trematoda; Plagiorchiida; Echinostomatidae
Rfam family: tRNA
About the family: Transfer RNA (tRNA) molecules are approximately 80 nucleotides in length. Their secondary structure includes four short double-helical elements and three loops (D, anti-codon, and T loops).
Source: Rfam by way of RNAcentral
GGCCUCCUAGCUCGGCUGGUAGAGCGUGUGUUGUACGAAAGCACAGGCGGCGUCCAUGCGUGGGUUCAAAUCCCACCGAGGCUA